Acipenser ruthenus (sterlet) is the source of this 1894-nucleotide RNA transcript. It is a transcript of the gene named glycogen synthase kinase-3-like, with no coding region annotated. NCBI's taxonomy places the organism in Eukaryota, Metazoa, Chordata, Actinopteri, Acipenseriformes, Acipenseridae. The transcript is spliced from 6 exons. The record is from RefSeq and is a predicted model, not a curated record.
UCACAGCACAGAAAAGCUUGAAUCUGGGAGAUAAACCUGCCGGACUGAAACUAUCUAAUAAGGAUGCAGGUGCUGCUCUGUGAGGUAACACUGGACCAAUCAGAACAUGCGCACUGACAAGGCACCUGGCCUGAGUGGGACUGGGAGCGCGCGCGUUAUAAGAAGCAGCAACCCGGGAUUCCCAGCAGAAGAGAAACCCGCAGAACAGCGUCAUUCAUUACGAGGGAGGCAGGCCGGAGAGAACCGUGACCGUCCUUUCAAAAAAUGGCCACUUAUUCCAGAAGAACUAUUGGCCAAGGAUGCUUUGGAAAAGUGUACAAAACACAAUACAAAGGUGAAACAACAGCAAUGAAAAAAAUUCCUGAAUCGAAUAUAAAACAGAAGAACAUUGAUAGAGAAAUCCAAAUAUACCAUGUCUACAGCAUUGCAGCGUCUUUAGUUCUUGAAACCUGUAAUUGAUAUCUGAUAUCUCCAAUAGGAAGCUAAAUCACCCGAAUAUUGUUAAGCUGCUUUUUUACCCUUGGAAAGAAGAUGGUACUUGGAAUUUCCCUUUGGAGUUUAUUGACGGAGAAGAUCUGGAGAAGGUCCUCUUCAAACAAAGGGAAUCCAGAAUCAAGUUGUCCAGGUCAGCCAAGGUUACCAUCAUCAACGGAAUGUGCCAAGGCUUAUCUUUCCUUCACGAUAAGAAUAUUGUGCAUCAGGACCUGAAACCAGACAAUAUCAUGAUUGAGUAUGGCACAUUCCGCCCUGUUCUAGUUGACUUUGGAGUGGCCAAAAUAACAUCUUCCACAGGCUUCUCUACUGCAACAAAUAACGGGAAUAGAGCUUAUGCAGCUCCAGAAGUCUGCCAAGGCUCCGAUCGAAAUAAAAGCACCGACAUCUGGGCUAUGGGGAAGAUCAUAGCUGAGCUGCUCCUAGGGAGCACAGUUGAGACGGAGAAAUGCGGCUGCAGAUAUGUUGAAGAAAUUCUGAAGGGAAUGCCAUAUGCUAAAUCAGUGAGUCAAAUGGUCUAUACCAAUCCAUGUCAGCGAGUUGAAAUGAGACAGAUAUUGGGGGACAUAGAAAUGGCUGGGGAGGCUUUCAAGAGGGAUAUAUUGAUGAUGCGCUUAUUUCCAAUCCAAUGUUUCAAGGUAGAACAACAGAGGUGACAAAAAAGCUAUAUGAUCCCGUGGAAAAGAGAAGUGUUUAUAGAAUACCUGAUGUUGGGGGAGCAAUGGUUCCUUUCAAUCCGGCAUCCAGCGAUCGUGCUUACUUCAGUGGUAUGAGUUUGGGCAGGGAUCCUUUAAUGGAGGUGAUGGAUAGCUUCAGAAGAGACAUGAAUCUAGGGAACUUCCCACAGACAGAAGUCAUCAAACACGAGACUCAGAAAUUAUUUCACUAUAGUUCCAGAGGGAACUUGGAUGUGAUCAGAGGUGGUCAGGUUGAAAAGGUUCAGGGACGAGUAAUUGGUUUCAAAUAUUUUGAGAGGAACAACCCACAGCCAUGAUUUGUAGCUGGCAGGCUGGAUUUAAAGCAGGACACAAAGUAUAUGUAUAUAUAUUGUGAGGUAUCAUCUUCCUUCUUAGUUAUUUUAAGGUUACUACAGCCUAGAAACCAAGUCUUCUUUAGCAUACAGCGCACUGGAGUCAAUGGUAGGGUUAAGUUGGAAAUUGUAUGAGCUCUUGAAAAAAUCCUGAAUCAGAGACAAGUCAACGAGCAAUUUGGGUUUUCCCGUUCUGGUGAGUUGCUUCACCGUUCUGUUAAAUCAUGUUGUGUGUGUCUUGAAUAUUGCUCCUGUACAUGUAUUCAUAAUUAAUCUAUAAUCAAAUUGAUUUUAUAACAUUUGCUGCAUGACAUUUUCUGAAUGCUACUAAAUAAAAAUGAUACAUUAUACACAAAUCCAUGUGGUAUUUUG